UACGGAGGGGGCGAGCGUUGCUCGGAAUUACUGGGCGUAAAGCGUGCGCAGGCGGUUCUCCAAGUCCGUUGUGAAAGCCCCGGGCUCAACCUGGGAAUGGCAGUGGAAACUAGGGGACUGGAAUCUGGCAGAGGGGGGUGGAAUGCCGCGUGUAGCAGUGAAAUGCGUAGAGAUGCGGCGGAACACCGAUGGCGAAGGCAGCCCCCUGGGCUGAGAUUGACGCUCAGGCACGAAAGCGUGGGGAGCAAACAGG
This 253-nucleotide ribosomal RNA is filed under the name uncultured bacterium. RNAcentral describes it as "partial 16S ribosomal RNA". It matches the Rfam family "Bacterial small subunit ribosomal RNA", at positions 524 to 776 of the family's 1533-position model. The record is from RNAcentral.